AACGAACGCUGGCGGCAUGCCUAACACAUGCAAGUCGAACGAAACCUUCGUGUUUAUUGGCGCUCGUCUACGUACCAACGGGGAACUUACACUUAGGUUCGGUGUAACUCACCUUAAGAUAUGCUAAUACCGGAUAAUCUCUUCGGACCAAAGAUUUAUCGCCUUUGGGUGGGCGCGCGUUGGUUUAGCUGGUUGGUAGGGUACACGCCUACUAAGAGGACGUUCCAUAGCUGGUGUGUGAGGAUGAUCAGCCACACUGGGACUGAGACACGGCCCAGACUCGGACGGGAGGCAGCAGUGGGGAAUAUUGGAGAAUGGGCGAAAGCCUGAUCCAGCAAUGCCGCGUGAGUGAUGAAGGCCUUAGGGUUGUAAAGCUCUUUUACCCGGGAUGAUAAUGACAGUACCGGGAGAAUAAGCUCCGGCUAACUCCGUG
This 433-nucleotide ribosomal RNA is filed under the name uncultured bacterium. RNAcentral describes it as "partial 16S ribosomal RNA". It matches the Rfam family "Bacterial small subunit ribosomal RNA", at positions 29 to 507 of the family's 1533-position model. The record is from RNAcentral.